CCUACGGGAGGCAGCAGUGAGGAAUAUUGGUCAAUGGACGCAAGUCUGAACCAGCCAUGCCGCGUGCAGGAAGACGGCUCUAUGAGUUGUAAACUGCUUUUGUACGAGGGUAAACGCAGAUACGCGUAUCUGUCUGAAAGUAUCGUACGAAUAAGGAUCGGCUAACUCCGGGCCAGCAGCCGCGGUAAUACGGAGGAUUCAAGCGUUAUCCGGAUUUAGUGGGUUUAAAGGGUGCGUAGGCGGUCGGAUAAGUUAGAGGUGAAAUCCCGAGGCUCAACUUCGGAAUUGCCUCUGAUACUGUUCGGCUAGAGAGUAGUAGCGGCAGGCGGAAUGUAUGGUGUAGCGGUGAAAUGCUUAGAGAUCAUACAGAACACCGAUUGCGAAGGCAGCUUACCAAGCUACUACUGACGUUGAGGCACGAAAGCGUGGGGAGCAAACAGGAUUAGAUACCCUAGUAGUC
RNAcentral lists this ribosomal RNA (460 nucleotides) under uncultured bacterium. RNAcentral describes it as "partial 16S ribosomal RNA". It matches the Rfam family "Bacterial small subunit ribosomal RNA", at positions 338 to 795 of the family's 1533-position model. The record is from RNAcentral.